CAGUCGCCGCGGUAAUACGAAGGGGGCUAGCGUUGUUCGGAAUUACUGGGCGUAAAGCGCACGCAGGCGGCUCGAUAAAUUAGAAGUGAAAGCCUUGGGCUUAACCUGAGAAUUGCUUUUAAGACUGUCGAGCUAGAAUCCAGAAGAGGGUAGUGGAAUUCCGAGUGUAGAGGUGAAAUUCGUAGAUAUUCGGAAGAACACCAGUGGCGAAGGCGACUACCUGGUCUGGCAUUGACGCUCAUGUGCGAAAGCGUGGGGAGCAAACAGGAUUAGAUACCCGAGUAGUCCCUGUCUCUUAUAA
This 301-nucleotide ribosomal RNA is filed under the name uncultured bacterium. Its description in RNAcentral is "partial 16S ribosomal RNA". It matches the Rfam family "Bacterial small subunit ribosomal RNA", at positions 509 to 809 of the family's 1533-position model. The record is from RNAcentral.